Molecule: ribosomal RNA, 2921 nt
Filed under: Staphylococcus aureus
Lineage: Bacteria; Bacillati; Bacillota; Bacilli; Caryophanales; Staphylococcaceae
Also listed under: 110 other names
Description: bacterial LSU rRNA
Rfam family: Bacterial large subunit ribosomal RNA
Source: RNAcentral
UUAAGUUAUUAAGGGCGCACGGUGGAUGCCUUGGCACUAGAAGCCGAUGAAGGACGUUACUAACGACGAUAUGCUUUGGGGAGCUGUAAGUAAGCUUUGAUCCAGAGAUUUCCGAAUGGGGAAACCCAGCAUGAGUUAUGUCAUGUUAUCGAUAUGUGAAUACAUAGCAUAUCAGAAGGCACACCCGGAGAACUGAAACAUCUUAGUACCCGGAGGAAGAGAAAGAAAAUUCGAUUCCCUUAGUAGCGGCGAGCGAAACGGGAAGAGCCCAAACCAAAAAGCUUGCUUGUUGGGGUUGUAGGACACUCUAUACGGAGUUACAAAGGACGACAUUAGACGAAUCAUCUGGAAAGAUGAAUCAAAGAAGGUAAUAAUCCUGUAGUCGAAAAUGUUGUCUCUCUUGAGUGGAUCCUGAGUACGACGGAGCACGUGAAAUUCCGUCGGAAUCUGGGAGGACCAUCUCCUAAGGCUAAAUACUCUCUAGUGACCGAUAGUGAACCAGUACCGUGAGGGAAAGGUGAAAAGCACCCCGGAAGGGGAGUGAAAUAGAACCUGAAACCGUGUGCUUACAAGUAGUCAGAGCCCGUUAAUGGGUGAUGGCGUGCCUUUUGUAGAAUGAACCGGCGAGUUACGAUUUGAUGCAAGGUUAAGCAGUAAAUGUGGAGCCGUAGCGAAAGCGAGUCUGAAUAGGGCGUUUAGUAUUUGGUCGUAGACCCGAAACCAGGUGAUCUACCCUUGGUCAGGUUGAAGUUCAGGUAACACUGAAUGGAGGACCGAACCGACUUACGUUGAAAAGUGAGCGGAUGAACUGAGGGUAGCGGAGAAAUUCCAAUCGAACCUGGAGAUAGCUGGUUCUCUCCGAAAUAGCUUUAGGGCUAGCCUCAAGUGAUGAUUAUUGGAGGUAGAGCACUGUUUGGACGAGGGGCCCCUCUCGGGUUACCGAAUUCAGACAAACUCCGAAUGCCAAUUAAUUUAACUUGGGAGUCAGAACAUGGGUGAUAAGGUCCGUGUUCGAAAGGGAAACAGCCCAGACCACCAGCUAAGGUCCCAAAAUAUAUGUUAAGUGGAAAAGGAUGUGGCGUUGCCCAGACAACUAGGAUGUUGGCUUAGAAGCAGCCAUCAUUUAAAGAGUGCGUAAUAGCUCACUAGUCGAGUGACACUGCGCCGAAAAUGUACCGGGGCUAAACAUAUUACCGAAGCUGUGGAUUGUCCUUUGGACAAUGGUAGGAGAGCGUUCUAAGGGCGUUGAAGCAUGAUCGUAAGGACAUGUGGAGCGCUUAGAAGUGAGAAUGCCGGUGUGAGUAGCGAAAGACGGGUGAGAAUCCCGUCCACCGAUUGACUAAGGUUUCCAGAGGAAGGCUCGUCCGCUCUGGGUUAGUCGGGUCCUAAGCUGAGGCCGACAGGCGUAGGCGAUGGAUAACAGGUUGAUAUUCCUGUACCACCUAUAAUCGUUUUAAUCGAUGGGGGGACGCAGUAGGAUAGGCGAAGCGUGCGAUUGGAUUGCACGUCUAAGCAGUAAGGCUGAGUAUUAGGCAAAUCCGGUACUCGUUAAGGCUGAGCUGUGAUGGGGAGAAGACAUUGAGUCUUCGAGUCGUUGAUUUCACACUGCCGAGAAAAGCCUCUAGAUAGAAAAUAGGUGCCCGUACCGCAAACCGACACAGGUAGUCAAGAUGAGAAUUCUAAGGUGAGCGAGCGAACUCUCGUUAAGGAACUCGGCAAAAUGACCCCGUAACUUCGGGAGAAGGGGUGCUCUUUAGGGUUAACGCCCAGAAGAGCCGCAGUGAAUAGGCCCAAGCGACUGUUUAUCAAAAACACAGGUCUCUGCUAAACCGUAAGGUGAUGUAUAGGGGCUGACGCCUGCCCGGUGCUGGAAGGUUAAGAGGAGUGGUUAGCUUCUGCGAAGCUACGAAUCGAAGCCCCAGUAAACGGCGGCCGUAACUAUAACGGUCCUAAGGUAGCGAAAUUCCUUGUCGGGUAAGUUCCGACCCGCACGAAAGGCGUAACGAUUUGGGCACUGUCUCAACGAGAGACUCGGUGAAAUCAUAGUACCUGUGAAGAUGCAGGUUACCCGCGACAGGACGGAAAGACCCCGUGGAGCUUUACUGUAGCCUGAUAUUGAAAUUCGGCACAGCUUGUACAGGAUAGGUAGGAGCCUUUGAAACGUGAGCGCUAGCUUACGUGGAGGCGCUGGUGGGAUACUACCCUAGCUGUGUUGGCUUUCUAACCCGCACCACUUAUCGUGGUGGGAGACAGUGUCAGGCGGGCAGUUUGACUGGGGCGGUCGCCUCCUAAAAGGUAACGGAGGCGCUCAAAGGUUCCCUCAGAAUGGUUGGAAAUCAUUCAUAGAGUGUAAAGGCAUAAGGGAGCUUGACUGCGAGACCUACAAGUCGAGCAGGGUCGAAAGACGGACUUAGUGAUCCGGUGGUUCCGCAUGGAAGGGCCAUCGCUCAACGGAUAAAAGCUACCCCGGGGAUAACAGGCUUAUCUCCCCCAAGAGUUCACAUCGACGGGGAGGUUUGGCACCUCGAUGUCGGCUCAUCGCAUCCUGGGGCUGUAGUCGGUCCCAAGGGUUGGGCUGUUCGCCCAUUAAAGCGGUACGCGAGCUGGGUUCAGAACGUCGUGAGACAGUUCGGUCCCUAUCCGUCGUGGGCGUAGGAAAUUUGAGAGGAGCUGUCCUUAGUACGAGAGGACCGGGAUGGACAUACCUCUGGUGUACCAGUUGUCGUGCCAACGGCAUAGCUGGGUAGCUAUGUGUGGACGGGAUAAGUGCUGAAAGCAUCUAAGCAUGAAGCCCCCCUCAAGAUGAGAUUUCCCAACUUCGGUUAUAAGAUCCCUCAAAGAUGAUGAGGUUAAUAGGUUCGAGGUGGAAGCAUGGUGACAUGUGGAGCUGACGAAUACUAAUCGAUCGAAGACUUAAUCAA